Molecule: non-coding RNA, 639 nt
Organism: Parasteatoda tepidariorum (common house spider)
Lineage: Eukaryota; Metazoa; Arthropoda; Arachnida; Araneae; Theridiidae
Source: RefSeq, a predicted model, not a curated record
AAGUUUAUUUUAAUCACACGCGCACUAGGACGAUUUAGAAGAAUGCAGAAUGUUUAGAAGAAUGCAGAAUGUUUAGAAGAAUGGGUUUAUUUUAUUGUUGGAUUGGUCUUGAUUUGCAACAUGUAUUUCCAUACCAUUCAGACUAUGCAUUGCUCAAUGAUAGAGUUCUCUCCUAUCUCUGAAAGUUUGUAACCGCUGUGCUGAAUCACAUAAAUUAAGUCUUUGAUACAGCGUCAAAUAUUUUAAGAAAAGAAAGCGGCAGUUAUAAUACAACUAUAGUAAAUAUUUCGUGUUUUGAGAAGUCUAUUUUUAUGAAAAGAUUGUGAACUGAAUUUAUAAGCUUUAUAGUUUAUGAAAGGAAACACAAGAAUGUUUAAAUUUCCGAAUCAUUACAAAUUUUUGCAAUUUAGUUACAAAUCGUUACAAGAAAAGAACAGCUUUUAAUAGUAAGUCAUCAUGAAGGAGAUAUGAAGUCAACAAAAGGGUUAUUAAAGAACUUUUCUUUUGUUAGAAAGAAGAUAACUUAGCCGGUGAUCCAACACAUUUUGCUUUAUAAAAAUGAACAGUUAAAAAAAGAAAACUAUGUCUAUUUUUGCUUUUCUGUACUGAUACCAGAAAUAAAUAAAAAUGUCUUCAACC